This 497-nucleotide ribosomal RNA is filed under the name uncultured bacterium. Its description in RNAcentral is "partial 16S ribosomal RNA". It matches the Rfam family "Bacterial small subunit ribosomal RNA", at positions 28 to 507 of the family's 1533-position model. The record is from RNAcentral.
GAUGAACGCUGGCGGCGUGCCUAAUACAUGCAAGUCGAGCGAACAGACGAGGAGCUUGCUCCUCUGACGUUAGCGGCGGACGGGUGAGUAACACGUGGAUAACCUACCUAUAAGACUGGGAUAACUUCGGGAAACCGGAGCUAAUACCGGAUAACAUGUUGAACCGCAUGGUUCAACAGUGAAAGACGGUCUUGCUGUCACUUAUAGAUGGAUCCGCGCCGCAUUAGCUAGUUGGUAAGGUAACGGCUUACCAAGGCAACGAUGCGUAGCCGACCUGAGAGGGUGAUCGGCCACACUGGAACUGAGACACGGUCCAGACUCCUAAGGGAGGCAGCAGUAGGGAAUCUUCCGCAAUGGGCGAAAGCCAGACGGAGCCACGCCGCGUGAGUGAAGAAGGUCUUCGGAUCGUAAAACUCUGUUAUUAGGGAAGAACAAAUGUGUAAGUAACUAUGCACGUCUUGACGGUACCUAAUCAGAAAGCCACGGCUAACUACGUG